This 502-nucleotide ribosomal RNA is filed under the name uncultured bacterium. Its description in RNAcentral is "partial 16S ribosomal RNA". It matches the Rfam family "Bacterial small subunit ribosomal RNA", at positions 29 to 523 of the family's 1533-position model. The record is from RNAcentral.
AUUGAACGCUGGCGGCAUGCCUUACACAUGCAAGUCGAACGGCAGCACGGGUGCUUGCACCUGGUGGCGAGUGGCGAACGGGUGAGUAAUACAUCGGAACGUACCUUAUCGUGGGGGAUAACGCAGCGAAAGCUGUGCUAAUACCGCAUACGCCCUGAGGGGGGAAAGCGGGGGAUCGCAAGACCUCGCGCGAUUAGAGCGGCCGAUGCCUGAUUAGCUAGUUGGUGGGGUAAAAGCCCACCAAGGCGACGAUCAGUAGCUGGUCUGAGAGGACAAUCAGCCACACUGGGAAUAAGACACGGCCCAGACUCCUACGGGAGGCAGCAGUGGGGAAUUUUGGACAAUGGGGGCAACCCUGAUCCAGCAAUGCCGCGUGAGUGAAGGAGGCCUUCGGGUUGUAAAGCUCUUUUGUCAGGGAAGAAACACCGGCUCUAACACAGUCCGGGAAUGACGGUACCUGAAGAAUAAGCACCGGCUAACUACGUGCCAGCCGCCGCUGUAA